GUGGGGAAUCUUAGACAAUGGGCGCAAGCCUGAUCUAGCCAUGCCGCGUGAGCGAUGAAGGCCUUAGGGUUGUAAAGCUCUUUCGCUGGGGAAGAUAAUGACUGUACCCAGUAAAGAAGCCCCGGCUAACUCCGUGCCAGCAGCCGCGGUAAUACGGAGGGGGCUAGCGUUAUUCGGAAUGACUGGGCGUAAAGCGCACGUAGGCGGACCAGAAAGUUGGGGGUGAAAUCCCGGGGCUCAACCUCGGAACUGCCUUCAAAACUCCUGGUCUUGAGUUCGAGAGAGGUGAGUGGAAUUCCGAGUGUAGAGGUGAAAUUCGUAGAUAUUCGGAGGAACACCAGUGGCGAAGGCGGCUCACUGGCUCGAUACUGACGCUGAGGUGCGAAAGCGUGGGGAGCAAACAGGAUUAGAAACCCCAGUAGUCC
This 425-nucleotide ribosomal RNA is filed under the name uncultured bacterium. RNAcentral's name for it is "partial 16S ribosomal RNA". It matches the Rfam family "Bacterial small subunit ribosomal RNA", at positions 354 to 796 of the family's 1533-position model. The record is from RNAcentral.